This 466-nucleotide ribosomal RNA is filed under the name uncultured prokaryote. RNAcentral's name for it is "partial 16S ribosomal RNA". The record is from RNAcentral.
CCCUACGGGGUGCAGCAGGCAUCGUGCUGGGAAACACAGACACAGGCGGGCUGGUCGGAUUUAAUGACUGGGGCAGUACUUUUCUCUAUUCAUUCUGGGACAUGGACACCACAGGCCAGUCGCACAGCGGAGGCGGAAAAGCCAGAACAUCCGAACAGAUGAAACAAGCUGCAACGUAUAUGAACUGGAACAGUCCUGAUAAGAGAAUCUGGACCCUUGACGAAGGUAAUGAUUACCCCCGUCUUGGAUGGGAGCAGAAAAACGGGACUGCGAUUGCCUGUCAUGCGUUGAGUGAAUUUCUUGACGGCAGCGGUACAUUGCAGGACCCUUAUCGCGUAUCCACUGCCGAACAAUUCAACAAAAUCGGGCUGUUUGCCGGCGAAUGGGACAAGCACUUUGUUUUAACAUCAAAUAUUGAUAUGUCUGUAGUGAAUCCUGAUGCGUACAAUAAAAUUGGCGGGAGGGC